GAUGAACGCUGGCGGCGUGCUUAAUACAUGCAAGUCGAGCGAACAGAUAAGGAGCUUGCUCCUUUGACGUUAGCGGCGGACGGGUGAGUAACACGUGGGUAACCUACCUAUAAGACUGGAAUAACUCCGGGAAACCGGGGCUAAUGCCGGAUAACAUUUAGAACCGCAUGGUUCUAAAGUGAAAGAUGGUUUUGCUAUCACUUAUAGAUGGACCCGCGCCGUAUUAGCUAGUUGGUAAGGUAACGGCUUACCAAGGCAACGAUACGUAGCCGACCUGAGAGGGUGAUCGGCAACACUGGAACUGAGACACGGUCCAGACUCCUACGGGAGGCAGCAGUAGGGAAUCUUCCGCAAUGGGCGAAAGCCUGACGGAGCAACGCCGCGUGAGUGAUGAAGGUCUUCGGAUCGUAAAACUCUGUUAUUAGGGAAGAACAAAUGUGUAAGUAACUGUGCACGUCUUGACGGUACCUAAUCAGAAAGCCACGGCUAACUACGUG
Molecule: ribosomal RNA, 497 nt
Filed under: uncultured bacterium
Lineage: Bacteria
Description: partial 16S ribosomal RNA
Rfam family: Bacterial small subunit ribosomal RNA
Source: RNAcentral